GUCCAAGGCCCCGAACCCCUCGGAUCCCUCGGCCCCCCCGGACACUCAGGUGACCGUGCAGCUCUUCGACUCGGAGCCGCUGGCGCUGACGGUUCCUGGGCACAUCCCGUGGGAUGAUCCCAGAUUCAUGGAGAUGGUGGCCGAGCAGGCGCUCCGGCACUACAAGGAGAACGCCAUAGAGUAGCCGGGAGAUCCCGGAGCUCCGCAGCCCUUCCAGCCCCAUUCCAAGCGGGAAUUGUCGCCGUUGCUGUGCCUUCCCCCCUCCCUCCCUCUCCCUCCUGCUGCCGGGAAUCCCCUCCCGGGGGUCCCCAACCGGGCAAUAAAGGUAGAGUUGGAUCCUUG
Molecule: long non-coding RNA, 342 nt
Organism: Neopelma chrysocephalum (saffron-crested tyrant-manakin)
Lineage: Eukaryota; Metazoa; Chordata; Aves; Passeriformes; Pipridae
Exons: 2
Source: RefSeq, a predicted model, not a curated record